CAGUCGAACGAGCGAGAGGAGGUUUACUUUCUCAAGCGAGUGGCGAACGGGUGAGUAACGCGUGAGGAACCUGCCUCAAAGAGGGGGACAACAGUUGGAAACGACUGCUAAUACCGCAUAAGCCCACGACCCGGCAUCGGGUAGAGGGAAAAGGAGCAAUCCGCUUUGAGAUGGCCUCGCGUCCGAUUAGCUAGUUGGUGAGGUAAUGGCCCACCAAGGCGACGAUCGGUAGCCGGACUGAGAGGUUGAACGGCCACAUUGGGACUGAGACACGGCCCAGACUCCUACGGGAGGCAGCAGUGGGGAAUAUUGCACAAUGGGGGAAACCCUGAUGCAGCGACGCCGCGUGGAGGAAGAAGGUCUUCGGAUUGUAAACUCCUGUUGUUGAGGAAGAUAAUGACGGUACUCAACAAGGAAGUGACGGCUAACUACGUGCCAGCAGCCGCGGUAAAACGUAGGUCACAAGCGUUGUCCGGAAUUACUGGGUGUAAAGGGAGCGCAGGCGGGAAGGCAAGUUGGAAGUGAAAUCCAUGGGCUCAACCCAUGAACUGCUUUCAAAACUGUUUUUCUUGAGUAGUGCAGAGGUAGGCGGAAUUCCCGGUGUAGCGGUGGAAUGCGUAGAUAUCGGGAGGAACACCAGUGGCGAAGGCGGCCUACUGGGCACCAACUGACGCUGAGGCUCGAAAGUGUGGGUAGCAAACAGGAUUAGAUACCCUGGUAGUCCACACUGUAAACGAUGAUUACUAGGUGUUGGAGGAUUGACCCCUUCAGUGCCGCAGUUAACACAAUAAGUAAUCCACCUGGGGAGUACGACCGC
Molecule: ribosomal RNA, 817 nt
Filed under: uncultured bacterium
Lineage: Bacteria
Description: bacterial SSU rRNA
Rfam family: Bacterial small subunit ribosomal RNA
Source: RNAcentral